GUUUUGAUCUGCUCAGGAUGAACGCUAGCGACAGGCCUAACACAUGCAAGUCGAGGGGCAGCAUAAAAGUAGCAAUACUUUGGUGGCGACCGGCGCACGGGUGAGUAACACGUAUGCAACCUACCUGUAAGCGGGGAAUAACCCGGAGAAAUCCGGACUAAUACCGCAUAAUACUGUCUUACCACAUGGUAUAACAGUUAAACAUUUAUGGUUUACAGAUGGGCAUGCGUAUGAUUAGUUAGUUGGUGAGGUAACGGCUCACCAAGACAACGAUCAUUAGGGGUUCUGAGAGGAAGGUCCCCCACACUGGUACUGAGACACGGACCAGACUCCUACGGGAGGCAGCAGUGAGGAAUAUUGGUCAAUGGGCGAGAGCCUGAACCAGCCAAGUCGCGUGAAGGAAGAAUGUCCUAUGGAUUGUAAACUUCUUUUGUAAGGGAAUAAAAAGUAUCACGUGUGAUAUAUUGUAUGUACUUUACGAAUAAGGAUCGGCUAACUCCGUGCCAGCAGCCGCGGUAAUACGGAGGAUCCAAGCGUUAUCCGGAUUUAUUGGGUUUAAAGGGUGCGUAGGCGGGCCAUUAAGUCAGGGGUGAAAGUUUGCAGCUUAACUGUAAAAUUGCCUUUGAAACUGUUGGUCUUGAGUGUAAAUGAGGUAGGCGGAAUGUGUUGUGUAGCGGUGAAAUGCUUAGAUAUAACACAGAACCCCGAUUGCGAAGGCAGCUUACUGGGAUACAACUGACGCUGAUGCACGAAAGCGUGGGGAUCAAACAGGAUUAGAUACCCUGGUAGUCCACGCAGUAAACGAUGAAUACUAACUGUUUGCGAUACACAGUAAGCGGUACAGCGAAAGCGUUAAGUAUCCACA
This 865-nucleotide ribosomal RNA is filed under the name bacterium 061128-OL-KR37-AA 3-0 10000x -1A. RNAcentral describes it as "bacterial SSU rRNA". It matches the Rfam family "Bacterial small subunit ribosomal RNA", at positions 1 to 871 of the family's 1533-position model. The record is from RNAcentral.